RNAcentral lists this ribosomal RNA (373 nucleotides) under uncultured organism. RNAcentral's name for it is "partial 16S ribosomal RNA". It matches the Rfam family "Bacterial small subunit ribosomal RNA", at positions 527 to 896 of the family's 1533-position model. The record is from RNAcentral.
GUAGGUGGCAAGCGUUGUCCGGAAUUAUUGGGCGUAAAGCGCGCGCAGGCGGUUUUUUAAGUCUGAUGUGAAAGCCCACGGCUCAACCGUGGAGGGUCAUUGGAAACUGGAGAACUUGAGUACAGAAGAGGAAAGCGGAAUUCCACGUGUAGCGGUGAAAUGCGUAGAGAUGUGGAGGAACACCAGUGGCGAAGGCGGCUUUCUGGUCUGUAACUGACGCUGAGGCGCGAAAGCGUGGGGAGCAAACAGGGAUUAGAUACCCUGGUAGUCCACGCCGUAAACGAUGAGUGCUAAGUGUUAGGGGGUUUCUGCCCCCUUAGUGCUGCAGCUAACGCAUUAAGCACUCCGCCUGGGGAGUACGGCCGCAAGGCUG